CUUAUAAUCUGGUAACACCGAAUUCAGCAACAAAAUUGUAUUAUCCCGUUAUCCCCGUAAGUAAAUAAUUCUAGUGUUUAGGAUAAAUCACCCGUAGCGAAACAGUAAAUUUGACUUGAUAACAAAAGUGUAUAAAAAUUCAAAAUUCUUGUCUUAUUCUUAUAAUUAUCUGUUUUGCUUUUAUUAGUUCUUGAAUCAAAAAUUGUCAGAAUGAAUGAUGGGAAAAAGCGACUUAGUGGGGCCGAGUACAGAAAAAGAGCAGAAAUUAGAAAAGAAGAACAGAAAGAAAUCAUCCGACAAACAGUAAAAAUUUACAAUUUUUUGAGAAAUGAAAGUAAAAGCAUUAUUUUGAGUGCGGAAACUUCAAACAUAAGUCCUAAUACAAUACAAUCUGAAGAUGAGACCGAUACAUACUCUGCUGCUUGUGACAGUGUGGCAGAAGCGGAAUCAUCUGUAAGUCCAACAAUUGAAGAUUCGUUUCAGAAUCAAACGUCGAGCCCAGAUCUGUAUAUUGUGGACCGUGUUUGGCAUUUGGUCCAUUGGAGUGUUGAACUCAAUUUGAGAACGGAGGAUUCAAUGACUGGAAAAAUGCAGAUCAUCGAACAGCUCAGUAUGAAAACUCUCCGCGUCAUAAAUCUAGUAUUCUUAGUUUGAAAGAUAGAAAUAAGAUUGAUGACCGACUUAAUGAUUUAUUGCAGAUCCAGAUUGAUGAAGAAAUAACUUACUGGAAAAACGUUCUGAUGAAAGUUGUUGCUGUCGUGAAGCGAUUGUGUUCAAGAGGUCACACUUUUAGAGGGAAAAACUAAAAAUUUGAAGAUCCACAUAAUGGAAAUUAUUGUAUGGUUUUGGAACUAUUAGCCAAACUUGAUCCUUUUCUGGCUCAUCACAUUAAACGGUUUGGAAAUCAAGGAUCAGGGAGUACCAGUUACUUAUCAAAGACCACUUGCGAUGAAUUUAUUCUCUUGAUGGGUCAGAAAGUUUUAAAGAAGAUUGGAGACGAAAUAAAACAAGCAAAAUAUUUUUUUCUAAUCACCGAUUCAACACACAUUCUUUAAAUCUAUCAACAACUACAGCUGCUGAAUCGACUACAGAAGCUUGUCACUUUUUCAUAUUGUUACAGGAAAUCUAGGUUUUUUUCUAAGCUCGACACAACGCUGGCAGAAACUAAUGAAUCAAAUCGGAAAAGGCAAAAGCGUUAAAAAAGUAAAUUUGACAUGCUGGUCAGCUAGAGAGGAUGCAUGCAAAAGUUUGAAAGAAUCUUGGCAUGAAAUUCUAAAAACUUUGGAAUUAAUCAAGGAUGAUUGUACCGAAAAGCCUGUGAUACGACAAGAAGCGGCAGGGAUAUUUUCGAAUUUGCAAAAACUGCAAACGGCAGUAAUGGUUGUUGUAUGGAAUGUUCUUCUGGAGAGAAUAAAACAAGUGAAUGUUCAAUUUCAGAGUUCUAACACAGAUUUGAUCACUGUUGCUGAUAUUUACGAAUCACUCCGUAAGUUUUUCAUAGCUGAACGAGAGAAUUUUAAGUUUUUUGAAAAGGCAAUGGAAAUGAGUGUAUCAAAACAAUAUACAAAAAAGAUGGGAAAACGACGCCAAAAAGAAAAAAAGAUUUGAACUCUCGAAGAAUAUAUUCGAAUGGCUGCAAUUGAUUACUUCAGAGUUAACACGUUUUUCUCGUUCUCAUAGACAGAUUCAUAUCCGUAUUAGCAAAGCAGCAAGAGGCUCAUAACGGACUUAACGAGACAUUUUAAUUUCUUACUUAAAUGAAUGAGUUGUCACCAUCAAGUCUGACAGAAAAAGCCAGUUUUUUGGAAGAAACGUAUCCUAAUGAUUUAGAAAAGGACUUAACUCAGGAAUGCGUACACUUUCAAGCCUCUGUUCUGUCCUCUGAAAGAAUUUUAAUAAAACCAAAGUCUGGAUCAUUGAAAAGUCUGUAUUUGCUCAUGCGACAACAAAAUUUAGAAAAUAUUUAUCCAAACUUGGAUAUAGCACUUCGUAUUGCUUUAUGUACACAAGCAACGAAUUGUUCUGGUGAAAGAAGUUUAUAUUGCUUAAAGAGAGUCAAGAACUAUCUACGAUCGACUUUAAGUCAAAAAAAGCUAAACACUUUAGCUCUUUUAUGCAUAGAGUCAGAACAGAAUUAUUAUGCUGUUUUUAAAUUGUAAUUGUAAUAAAAAAUAUUUAUCAACGUUCUUGGAGUGUACAUUUUUUGUGUAAGCUUUGUUCAUAUAAUGUAAGUUUUGUAUAGUUUCAAGACAUGCUUUAACUUUUCUUAAAAAAAGUACAUGAAUGAGAUUUUCUUUGCUUAAAAUGAUAUUUCUUCAUAAUUAUUUAAUGUGUAAAUAAUCAAGGAUUUGAUACCGUACCUUAGUUUUUUAGUCAUAAAGUGGCAAUUUAAUAGAUAGAAAGUAUAAUUUAUGAAAACUUAAACUAAGCUAUCGAAUUUCAGAGGUAGUAGGGGCGGCAAAAAUUGAAAAGCCUACAGUCGGCAAAUCUGCAAAUCCGCCACAGCUUCUUAGUAAGGAAAGGACAGGUGCAAAUUUUCAGAUCAAUAGCUUAAAAACUGAGGGACUACUUAGCGUAUUUACAGGCUAAAUCAACUCAGCUCAUCAUGCUAAUCAUAUUAUGUAUAUACUUACAUAUUUUAGGGUUUACGACGUUUCCUUCUGGGUGGUACAAACUUAAUAUACCCUGUUCAGGGUAUACAAAUUUCUCUGAGCUUAUGUGCAACCUAAUUUAUGUACGUCAAAUAUAUGUAUACGACAUUGACCUGUAGAGGCAGAUUUUUUCCAAAAUGUUGUACGAAAAAAUGUUAUGGUAACUUCUGGCCAUAACGAAAUUAUAUCCUCUUUGUCUUUAGAAAAUGACAGCUCUUACUGUAGAUGAAAUUUUUACAAUGCUUAAACAAGAUUCUGACGUUGAUGAAGAAGCUAUGGAUGAAAAUGAGAUAAUAUUUGAUGAGCCCAAGUGCAAUUCAAAGAUGUAGAUGUGGUUGAACACGAAGCUAUUUCAGAGGAGCACGAAACCGAAGUAUACGACGGCAAUGUUCCCAAUUCCCCAACAACAUGUAUAAGUAGAGACACAACUGCAAAAAUUUAUGGAGUUUCAUAUACAGCAAAGAAAGAUAUUCGUUGACAAAAAUGUUUACAUCAGGAAAGCUUUAGAGGCAUAGCAAAUAAGUGAGGUUUUGGUCCACUCCUUUUCCUAUCUUUAGCAAAUAUAUACUGAUGAGUUUUUUACGAGAGAAUUGCACAAAUCUAUAUGCACCAAAUUCAGGCCAAUUGUCGUUCAAAGCUUAGACUGUUGAUGAAGUACGAUUUAUUUGGGUGGAGAUGUUUUAUAAUUCGGUAAUAAGAAUAUUACUUUUCAUUGAAAAUAUAACUCGCAGAAGAUUUUCAGCAAUUCGAAACAAUUUACACAUUGUUAACAUAAAUGCCCGUAAGCGCGACUGCGCUGAUCGUCUCUUUAAAAUGCGACCAAUAGUUGAGUUGAUUAGAAUCGGAUAAAAAACCUGACAUUGAGAGAAAACCUCUGCAUUGAUAAACAAAUCAUCCCAUUUAAAAACAAAUUUACAGCUAAGCAGUACGUUAAUACGUUAUGUGGAAAAAGUGGAAUGCCGUACGAUUUCCAGAUAUAUAAAGGAUCCACGAUACCCUUAAAUCCACAAUGGAUCCAAACAGUUCGCUUCGGUUCCGCAGUCGUUCUGCACUUGGCGAAACGUAUCCCAAAUACCGAAAUUGGACAUAAUUUAUUAUUCAACAACUACUUCCCAUCAUACCAAUCGUUUGAAAUGUUGAAACAAAAAAAAAUGAAUAGAUUUUCGAAUCCACGCUUGCCAACAGAGGUCCAUCAGCAGAAUGCAUAAGGCGCGAUAAUAAUGUUAUUGUACUCGCUGAUACGACAAUAAGUUGCGAAUCUGGCUUCAAACUUUGUUGGCAUCAAGAAAAAAUCAAAGCUAAGAGAUGGCAUAAAGAAAACAAAAAUUUUAUACUUAUCGAUAGACCCAAGUUGUACGAAUGUAUAAUGUGUAUACGAGCGGGGUGGAUUUAUUGGAUCAAAUGAUCCAAUACUACUGGAUGAAUAUUGGCACAGUUAAGUGGACUCUGAGAGUUAUUAUGCAAUUUGUAAAUUAUAUAUAACUGCGUCAUGGAUGGAGUACAAAAAAGAUUUUGCUCGUACACUCCUCGCUGCCCAACAAGACGACACAUCCAUUCCUCAUCUAAAACGCAAAAAAGAUAGACCAUCAAAAGCCUCUCUAAAAUAAUCCUCAUCUGCGGAAGGCGGUAACAGCGAUGACUCCGACAAUAGUGAAUCCAUGCAUUUGGCACCAAUUCCCAAAAAACGGAAGAAAGUCUUUCAAAAAGCUCCAGAACCAGAAAUGAAUUAAACAAAAUAAUACUUUCUUAUUUACACCUAUUACGUACUAUGAAUUAGUAAACUUUAAUUUGAACCACUUAUAAAAAAAUGUCAAUAAAUGGUGCUUUUGGUGGUCGAUAUCGAAUAUAUUGAAAAUCAGAUAAAAGCCGAGGGAGUUACCAAAAUUUAAAAAUUUAAUUUUCCCUAAAUUUAGCACAACCAUAUUAGUCACAUACAUACUCGUAUGUGUAUUUCAGAUUUUUAGCUAGUUAAUAUCGUUUACACGAUAUGAGUUAUUAAAAAUAUACUUUUGAGCUGCACAGAAAUGUGUACUCUUUAUUGAUAUUCUUAAGACUAACUUGUUAUAUAGAUCUUACUGCUAUUUAUACUAACUAGUGUUACUUAUUACUAGUUGAUAGUUUCUUUACAUAUAACAUAUUGUUUGUUUAAAUACAUUUGCAUCGUUCUAAGAUAAGUUUGUUUGAUGUAUUUUGUUUAAUGUGGUUUCAUACAUUAUGUUCAUUCAGAGAUAAGGUUGUUUUUAUGUUUGUUUGUUUAGGAUAUUGGUGAUAUAAUGUGAUAAGUAAUACGUUCCUUAACUAGCUCGAACUCAAAUAUUUUUGAAAUCGAAAGGGUUAAAAAAAAAUAGUUUUAAUGAGAUUCAAUUGCACAUCAGUUUACAAAAUAAAUAUUCAGAAUUCGUUUUACCAAAGUAGUUAUGAGGGGAUUUUUUUUUAUUGUUUUAGAGAUAAAGAAAUGUGUUUUAUAUUUAUCAAUUAAAUAAAUCCAAAAAUACUUGUAA
This is a long non-coding RNA of Bactrocera oleae (olive fruit fly), 5152 nucleotides long. RefSeq lists it as uncharacterized. Lineage: Eukaryota; Metazoa; Arthropoda; Insecta; Diptera; Tephritidae. The record is from RefSeq and is a predicted model, not a curated record.